RNAcentral lists this long non-coding RNA (966 nucleotides) under Homo sapiens (human). RNAcentral describes it as "HSALNT0308379". The record is from RNAcentral. Lineage: Eukaryota; Metazoa; Chordata; Mammalia; Primates; Hominidae.
CAUUAUUACAGGCAUGAGCCACCACGACCCACCUCAAGUGUUUUUUAAGUUAAAAAAUUAUUUAACUUAACCUCCAAAUUAGGAGGUCUGCUAGAGUACUUCUCUGAAUAAUAUUUUUCUAUAAAGUGUACAUGGGUACACUUUAUAGAAAACACCUGCUUAUAUUUUCUGGGUCCUUGAAUGAAUGGAGAAGGUGUGACAGUACUUUCUGUCAGACUGCAUGUGAAGUACAGCUUAACUGGGUACAGGAUUCUUGGGUCACAAUCAUUUUCCCUCAAACUUCGCAGAUGUUACUUCACUGUAUUUUGGCACUUGGUGUUAAAGUAGAGAAGUAUGAUGAUAUUUGAUUCAUUUUCUCAGAUGUAGUCAUUUUAAAUAAAGUGUCUCAAUAUCUGUGAGAUUUCUUUUUUCUGUCCUUAAAAUAUUUAAAACUUCUGAUUAUAAAAGUAAGAUUGGAGAUUACCAAACAUUUGGAAAGUACAGAAAAUUUAAACUAUAAAAUUUAAAAUAACCAAUGAACAAAUAAUAUUUCACGAUAACUCUUAUUAAUAUUUAUUGGUGUGUUUCCUUCCAGUCCAGGCCAGACUAUUUUAAAAUAAAGAUAAUAGAUAUUUAAAGUAAUCUAUUUAACAUAUUUAAAAUAUUUUCAGAGCAUUCAAGCUCCUCUAUACAUUCCAAAUUAAGAAGCCUUGAUAAUAAUGACUAACAUCUAUUAAGUAAUUCUACUACAUGCCAGGCACUCUUUUAAAUGUUUUACAUGUAUUAAUUAAUUUAACCUUUAUUAUAAGCCCAUGAGGAAGAUAAUGUUUAUCUCUACUUUGUUUUUCUUUUUUUCUUUUUUUUCAUGAGGCUCUGCUUUCACGGUCUGUAUUCGUACUAAAAAUCAACAUCAAGCGAGCUUUUGCCCUUCUGCUCCACGGGAGGUUUCUGUCCUCCCUGAGCUCGCCUUAGGACACCCGAGAUCGC